Long non-coding RNA from Phyllostomus discolor (pale spear-nosed bat), 640 nucleotides. RefSeq lists it as uncharacterized. The transcript has 3 exons. NCBI's taxonomy places the organism in Eukaryota, Metazoa, Chordata, Mammalia, Chiroptera, Phyllostomidae. The record is from RefSeq and is a predicted model, not a curated record.
CCCACUCCGCCGCAGGCGGCACUCCCCACGAUCUAUUUUUUAAAAUCCAUGUACGUCGAGCCUUUCAUCCAAACCCGUAAACAACCAUUUCCUCCCUGCAACAGUGGCUCGCACAGCCCGAGCCGUUCAGGCGAGCCAGGGCCGAGUCGCGCAAACAGGGGGACUGCAGACUGCGGUGCUGGGCAGGGCCGCUCCUCCCGCCGCGCGCUCCAGCGUUCCUCGUCACGGGUGUGAUUUAGGAGGGUUCAGGACCCUGGGAAGAUCCCGCCCUUGAAACCGAGACCCGGGAACCGGAGGCGGCCUCAGCCCAGCAGAGCCAAGCCUUUGGAAAUCUGGCUUCUCUCCAGCGGCCAGGAGCGGCCCCAGCGGGUGCGCGGAGCCGCUCCCAGAGAGCCCCCAUAUUGUCGAAGCUUCAGGCGCCAUGACAUCUGAAUCUGCUCUGGCUCAGAAGUGGCUGGGAGGUUGGUUGCUCCAUCGUUAGAUCCAAGUUCUCAACUAGCCGGGCAUUCCACUGCACCGCUAUCGACGUCAUCUAUGAUGUCAUGAGGGUGGCGGCCACCGGCAUUGCAGCCCGCAGCCUGGGACGUCCCCAGGAUCUCUUCAGCGUUCUAGAGAGGUCAACAGAUCGCUGACGCGUCUG